This 429-nucleotide ribosomal RNA is filed under the name Chloroflexota bacterium. RNAcentral's name for it is "Chloroflexi bacterium partial 16S ribosomal RNA". It matches the Rfam family "Bacterial small subunit ribosomal RNA", at positions 355 to 776 of the family's 1533-position model. The record is from RNAcentral. Lineage: Bacteria; Bacillati; Chloroflexota.
UGGGGAAUAUUGCACAAUGGGCGCAAGCCUGAUGCAGCCAUGCCGCGUGUGUGAAGAAGGCCCUCGGGUUGUAAAGCACUUUCAGCGGGGAGGAAGGGGAUAAGGUUAAUAACCUUGUCGAUUGACGCUACCCGCAGAAGAAGCACCGGCGAACUCCGUGCGAGCAGCCGCGGUAAUACGGAGGGUGCAAGCGUUAAUCGGAAUUACUGGGCGUAAAGUGCACGCAGGCGGUCUGUCAAGUCGGUUGUGAAAUCCCCUGGCUCAACCUGGUAACUGCAGUCGAAACUGGAAAGCUAGAGUCUUGUAGAGGCGGAUAGAAUUCCAGGUGUAGCGGUGAAAUGCGUAGAGAUCUGGAGGAAUACCGGUGGCGAAGGCGUCCCCCUGGACAAAGACUGACGCUCAGGUGCGAAAGCGUGGGGAGCAAACAGG